UACGUAGGGUGCAAGCGUUAAUCGGAAUUACUGGGCGUAAAGCGUGCGCAGGCGGUUAUGUAAGACAGGUGUGAAAUCCCCGGGCUUAACCUGGGAACUGCAUUUGUGACUGCAUAGCUAGAGUACGGUAGAGGGGGGUGGAAUUCCGCGUGUAGCAGUGAAAUGCGUAGAUAUGCGGAGGAACACCGAUGGCGAAGGCAAUCCCCUGGAUCUGUACUGACGCUCAUGCACGAAAGCGUGGGGAGCAAACAGG
Molecule: ribosomal RNA, 253 nt
Filed under: uncultured bacterium
Lineage: Bacteria
Description: partial 16S ribosomal RNA
Rfam family: Bacterial small subunit ribosomal RNA
Source: RNAcentral